Molecule: ribosomal RNA, 693 nt
Filed under: Allium plurifoliatum var. plurifoliatum
Lineage: Eukaryota; Viridiplantae; Streptophyta; Magnoliopsida; Asparagales; Amaryllidaceae
Description: eukaryotic LSU rRNA
Rfam family: 5.8S ribosomal RNA (bases 258-413)
Source: RNAcentral
CUGCGGAAGGAUCAUUGUAGAGUUCCUUAUUAAACAAUUGUGAAAUUGUACUCAUACCCGUCAAGAACUAUGUAUUUGCGCGGUUAGCGCUCGCGUUGUUUAGAUGGGAUCCAUUUGCUGCCUCCAUCUUGCUUCAAUUGAAGCAAGUAGGAGAGUAGAAAUAAGAAACCGGCACGGUUUGUGCCAAGGAAAGUUGUUGUUGGAGUGCAUUGCCAUCAUUUUGAUGUGCUUUGUGUUAUUCCAGUGAGCGUCUAAAUGACUCUUGGCAAUGGAUAUCUUGGCUCUUGUGUCGAUGAAGAACGUAGCGAAAUGCGACACUUGGUGUGAAUUGCAGAAUCCCGUGAACCAUCGAGUCUUUGAAUGCAAGUUGCGCUCGAGGCCAUUAGGUCGAGAGCACGUCUGUUUGGGCGUCAUGCCUUGCGUCGUUCUAACCACCCACCUAUGAUAAACAUAUUGUGGGUGAUAGCGGAUGUGGAGAUUGGCCUUCCGUGCUUUAAUUGUGCGGUUGGUUUAAGUGAAUGUUGUCGCUAGGACUACGCGUGGCGAAUGGUGUAACACACGAUGUCUCUAACUGCGUAAAGGAGUUCUAGGCAUGAUCUAACAUUAACUGAAACCAAUUUCGAUGCUUGCCUCCAUUGCAAGCUCGGACCAUGACCUCAGAUCAGACGGGGCUACCCGCUGAGUUUAAGCAUA